This is a non-coding RNA of Chlorocebus sabaeus (green monkey), 7820 nucleotides long. Lineage: Eukaryota; Metazoa; Chordata; Mammalia; Primates; Cercopithecidae. The record is from RefSeq and is a predicted model, not a curated record.
CUUAGGGUGGCAAUGGCAGAUUCAGGAUGCCAGCGCCCUUGAAACUAGCAUAAGGCGUGAGAUGGCCUGGUCUCUGGAGGGUGGGUGUCCUGUCUGCUGUAGCAGUAGCCGAUGAAGCUCUCCAGCCUGCCCGCCCCCAUGGCAGCCACUGCAGCUCGGCUGCCCACAGCUGCAGCCACUGUCCAGCAAGGGUGCACGGCCAGACACCACUGGUCUUGCCUCAUGACUUCCUCUGUCCUUUCCCAGGCCCUGUCCUUGUCAGGCCCCAGAGCCGGAGGUUGAUGGGGUCCCCUGAGUCCUUUCCCAUCCUGUCCCCGUUGGUGUGACAGGCUCCCCACCCGGAGACCAAGGGACAGCCAUUUUGCUGUGCUCUUGGUGUUGAAGCCCUCAGGGUGACCUUUGCACAUACUGUGUGGUGAGUUGGGGGUGACCAAGAGCACGAGGUGAGAAGACACUGUCACGCAGAGCUGUGCUAUCGGAGAGGCUCAGUCCCAGGGCGGGUUCCAGCAAGGCCCAGGAGAAACCCCAGCCGAGAUAGGAAGUGAGGAGUCAGGCUCUUGCUGACCAGGGACAGAGGUUUCUAUGGAGACCAGAGGAACAGGAAGCACAGGCCUGCAGGGAGGGGCAUGGGAGCACGGAGGCAUGGGUGCCCAGCAGGAGAGCCUGUGGCAAAAUAGCUCAGCCACUCUGACAGUCUCCCCAGUCAGACAGGGAAACUGAGGCCCGUGAGGGGCCAACUUGCACACAGUCACAUAGCACUGCUGGCCCUGCCCACCCUACUCUGCUGGGAGGAACGGCACCAUCGGCCACUGAGGAGACUCCUGGACAGAUGUGGACCUGGGUUGCCUGGCAGUGUGUGGAGCCGGGCACCACAGGACCAUAUGUCAGCUGCCCUUGUCUCUCGAGGGGGUCCUGGUCCCUGUUGUCAGCGCAGGUCUGGGGCCGCAAGCUGGGCCCAGCCCUCACCGCCGCCCACGGUUGCAGCGGCACCUCCCCCCACUGACUGUGGCCUUUUGUUUUCUGGGUGACACUAGCAUCAGGCGGUGUGUCCGGGUGACUAAUCUCCUCCAGGCUGGGCAGCUGUCACAGGGCGGCCUGACCAGGCAGGCGGGGAAAGCUGACACCCUGGGGAGGGCUGGUAGGUCAGUGCCCUGACGGCAGGGGGCAGUUGGGCCUUCAGGCUCCUCUUCCCCGACACAAAGUAGGUCCCAGGUCGGGAAGACCUGGGUUCAGGUCCCGACUCUGCCGCUGACUGGCCAUGGGACCGUGGCAUGUUAUUGGCCCUCUUGAAGCCUCAGUUUCUCCGUGUCUAGAAUGGAGCUGUGGGUCCUGCCUACCUCACAGGGCUGUGGUGAGGAUCACAUGAGAUGAUAAAGUACUUAGCCCAGGGCCUGUCACAUAGCAGGCGUUCGUUAUUAUUCCCUACCUGGUUCCCUGUCCUACCCCAUCCCAGCCUCAUGUUCCAGAGGAAGGACCCUGCAACCCACCCCAUUUCUGGGGCGCAGGCUUUGCCAUUAGGUAGACUUGGGCUGCAGCACUGGCUCCACACUGACUGGCCGGGGACCCUAGACAGGCCACCUCUGCGUCAACUUCCUCAUCAGCAACAGUGUGAUGCAGUGCCUGUUCAUUGGGGUUACGGUUGAUGAAAUGAUCUGUGUUUGCCAGGGGCUUAGCACAGUGCCUGACACAUAGGGGCUCAGUAAAUGUCAGCCGUGACACUGGUGAUUUUGGGGGAGGCCCAGCACUGUCCGCCCAUGCCUGCCGUCCUGCCCCUGCAGCUCCCUCCUGCCCAGGCGGUCUGCUCUGAAUGGGGCACAUUUGGGGUCAUAGAGCACUGCCCUGACCUCCCGUCAUCUGAGGCAGCUGCAGACUCCAAUAGGCAGAGACCAAGAGCUGAGCCGUGCAGAACUCUGCUUCCCUAGGCACCUCCACCGUGUCCGUCUCUUCCCUCAACACCCCUGCACCUGGCCUGAAGCUGCUCAAGACCUGCAGGGCAGUAGCAAAUCAGAGUGCAGUGUAUGGAAGGAGAAGGUGCUAGACGUGUGACCUGGGCCUGACUCCUCCAGCCCAUCAUCACUGCCUUCAUCCUCCCUCCUGUCCAUGGUGCAUCCAGGGCAUCACCCACCAUGCCUAACUAAUGCCAGCCUUCAGGGGACCACAAGGCUUCUGUCAGCCCCAGGCAGCACUGUCCCAGGGCUGUGACCUUGACCUCUGUGGCUGCCCGGGGCUAGGAUGCAUCCCCCACCAGUCUCUCCCCAGGAGCAGGACAAGGACCAGGGCCCAGGAGAUCACCUGCUGUGGGGCACACGUAGCCUCAGGUACCUGGCGGCAUUGCCACCCUGAUCCAUGCCAGGCAGGCUGCCCUUCCCCUAAUGUUAGGAGAGGUGAGGGCACAGGAGCUCGAUGCUGGCUGUGAAGAAGGGUAGGCAGGGCGGAGGUGAGCUAGCAGAGGGAGCAGAGCAUGAGUUCAGGAUGGAUCCGGGGAGACCAGGUCCAGGUGGGAGCUAGGAUGAUGCCCACAGCUCCUGCCUCCCUGCAGCAUUUGAAAUUGUGAGUAUCCGAGCAUCCAGCAUCAGGGCCGCAGAAGAAUGUCCAGUCACAGGCUCCCUCAGCAGCAGAGUCAGAAUGAUUUCCCAGCAUCACCCAGCUUCACCCUGGGGUAUCCAUUCUUGUCCCUUCAGAAAGGUGAGACAGAGCAGGUGAGCACCAGAAAGUUCUUACCAUCAGUGCCUCAGACGUACAGGCACGCACACACCCAGAAUCCAGAAGGCUUUGCUUUUGGCCCAAGCCUAUUGUCACGGUCCCCUGGGUAAAGGAAGACUGAGCAGCCCCUCCCCAGGGUGAGCCAGACAGCGACUCUGCAGUUCCCUGAGACCUAGUCUCCCCUGAGCUACACAUUAGACCCUCUCCAUUUCCAGGAGUCACCUUCAGCCUGACCCCAAGGCUGGGGGCCAAGAGACUCUGGGGGUCCUGUCAAGACUGAGUUCUUUUGCAGAAAGCCUCGUUUUGUUAUAGCUUGGUUUGUGCCAUGUCCCGGGGGAGACACCUAACCUGCUCCCCCAUGUUGGUGGCAAAACAAAGACCCAGCGAGUAGGAAACCCUGCCCUGGGCCCCACCGUCCAUCCAGACAGACCGACUCCCCAUUUUCUUUUUGUUUUCUUUUCCAUCAGCUUCCGGUGGGGCAGGUGGAGGCCUUUAGGGCCAGGGCUCUGUGGAUUCUGGUGCCUGGAUGGGGGAAGAAGGGAUAGCCUGAAGCACCCACCUACCUACGACUCCAGGGCUCCCUAGGGUGCAGCGGGGGAGAGCAUCAGUGCCCCAACAGCUCUAAACUUGGGCUCCCCUGAGCACCCUUGGGACCCUCACAUGGAGGUCAGAGGCUGCAGUGACCCCUCCCUCCCUCGGGGCUUGCUUCCCUCCUCAUGGGGCAGAGGCUGUGAAUGGGCUCCCAGACGCAGGGCAGACCAUGGCCUGGUCCAGCUCCUGAUGUCCCCGGUCUCUGUGCCCAACAGCCACCCGCCUGCCAUGGAGACUUUCUUUAGGAGACAUUUCCAGUGGAAGGUGCCAGGCCCUGGAGAGGGGCAGCGGCGGCCCAGCGUUGUGGGGCUGCCCACGGGCAAGGCCCGGCGUCGCUCCCCCGCUGGGCAGGCCUCUUCCUCACUGGCACAGCGGCGGCGCUCCAGCGCCCAGCUCCAGGGCUGCCUCCUGAGCUGUGGGGUGAGGGCCCGGGGUUCCAGCCGCCGGCGCUCCAGCACUGUGCCCCCUUCCUGCAACCCCCGCUUCAUCGUGGAUAAGGUGCCCACUCCACAGCCUACCACUGUGGGGGCCCAGCUUCUUGGCGCACCCCUGCUGUUGACCGGGCUUGUGGGCAUGAAUGAGGAGGAGAAGGGUGUCCAGGAGGAUGUGGCAGCUGGGGCGUGGAGCGCCGUCCAGACAGGCACCAAGACACCAGGGCCAUCCCCACCCCAGGGCGCCAGGCUGCUGUCGCCCCUGCCCCGCUACCUGCGCCGAGCCUCCUCCCACCUGCUCCCUGCGGAAGCCGUGUAUGACAACGCUCUCUGGGGCCUACACGGCUACUAUCGGCGCCUCAGCCAGCGGCGGCCCUCAGGCCAGCACCCUGGCCCUGGGGGCCGAAGAGCCUCAGGCACCACCGCCAGCACCGUGCUGCCCACCCGUGUGCGCCCACUGUCCCGCAGGCGCCAGGUAGCCCUACGGCGCAAGGCAGCGGGACCCCAGGCCUGGAGUGCCCUGCUCGCGAAAGCCAUCACUAAGUCGGGCCUCCAGCACCUGGCCCCGCCUCCGCCCACCCCUGGGGCCCCGUGCAGCGAGUCAGAGCGGCAGAUCCGGAGCACAGUGGACUGGAGCGAGUCAGCGACAUAUGGGGAGCACAUCUGGUUCGAGACCAACGUGUCCGGGGACUUCUGCUACGUUGGGGAGCAGUAUUGUGUAGCCAGGAUGCUGCAGAAGUCAGUGUCUCGAAGAAAGUGCGCAGCCUGCAAGAUUGUGGUGCACACGCCCUGCAUCGAGCAGCUGGAGAAGAUAAAUUUCCGCUGUAAGCCGUCCUUCCGUGAAUCAGGCUCGAGGAACGUGCGCGAGCCAACCUUUGUACGGCACCACUGGGUACACAGACGACGCCAGGACGGCAAGUGUCGGCACUGUGGGAAGGGAUUCCAGCAGAAGUUCACCUUCCACAGCAAGGAGAUUGUGGCCAUCAGCUGCUCAUGGUGCAAGCAGGCAUACCACAGCAAGGUCUCCUGCUUCAUGCUGCAGCAGAUUGAGGAGCCGUGCUCCCUGGGGGUCCACGCGGCCGUGGUCAUCCCGCCCACCUGGAUCCUCCGUGCACGGAGGCCCCAGAAUACCCUGAAAGCAAGCAAGAAGAAGAAGAGGGCAUCCUUCAAGAGGAAGUCCAGCAAGAAAGGGCCUGAGGAGGGCCGCUGGAGACCCUUCAUCAUCAGACCCACCCCCUCCCCCCUCAUGAAGCCUCUGCUGGUGUUUGUGAACCCCAAGAGUGGGGGCAACCAGGGUGCAAAGAUCAUCCAGUCCUUCCUCUGGUAUCUCAAUCCCCGACAAGUCUUCGACCUGAGCCAGGGAGGGCCCAGGGAGGCGCUGGAGAUGUACCGCAAAGUGCACAACCUGCGGAUCCUGGCGUGCGGGGGCGACGGCACGGUGGGCUGGAUCCUCUCCACCCUGGACCAGCUACGCCUGAAGCCGCCGCCCCCUGUUGCCAUCCUGCCCCUGGGUACUGGCAACGACUUGGCCCGAACCCUCAACUGGGGUGGGGGCUACACAGAUGAGCCUGUGUCCAAGAUCCUCUCCCAUGUGGAGGAGGGGAAUGUGGUACAGCUGGACCGCUGGGACCUCCACGCUGAGCCCAACCCGGAGGCAGGGCCUGAGGACCGAGAUGAAGGCGCCACCGACCGGUUGCCCCUGGAUGUCUUCAACAACUACUUCAGCCUGGGCUUUGACGCCCAUGUCACCCUGGAGUUCCACGAGUCUCGAGAGGCCAACCCAGAGAAAUUCAACAGCCGCUUUCGGAAUAAGAUGUUCUACGCUGGGACAGCCUUCUCCGACUUCCUGAUGGGCAGCUCCAAGGACCUGGCCAAGCACAUCCGAGUGGUGUGUGAUGGAACAGACCUGACUCCUAAGAUCCAGGACCUGAAACCCCAGUGUGUUGUUUUCCUGAACAUCCCCAGGUACUGUGCAGGCACCAUGCCCUGGGGCCACCCUGGGGAGCACCACGACUUUGAGCCCCAGCGGCAUGACGACGGCUACCUCGAGGUCAUUGGCUUCACCAUGACGUCCUUGGCCGCGCUGCAGGUGGGCGGGCAUGGCGAGCGGCUGACGCAGUGCCGUGAGGUGGUGCUCACCACGUCCAAGGCCAUCCCGGUGCAGGUGGACGGCGAGCCCUGCAAGCUUGCAGCCUCACGCAUCCGCAUCGCCCUGCGCAACCAGGCCACCAUGGUGCAGAAAGCCAAGCGGCGGAGCGCCGCCCCCCUGCACAGCGACCAGCAGCCGGUGCCCGAGCAGCUGCGCAUCCAGGUGAGUCGCGUCAGCAUGCAUGACUACGAGGCCUUGCACUACGACAAGGAGCAGCUCAAGGAGGCCUCCGUGCCGCUGGGCACUGUGGUGGUCCCAGGAGACAGUGACCUAGAGCUCUGCCGCGCCCAUAUCGAGAGACUGCAACAGGAGCCCGAUGGUGCUGGAGCCAAGUCCCCGACAUGCCAGAAACUGUCCCCCAAGUGGUGCUUCCUGGACGCCACCACUGCCAGCCGCUUCUACAGGAUCGACCGAGCCCAGGAGCACCUCAACUAUGUGACUGAGAUCGCACAGGAUGAGAUUUAUAUCCUGGACCCUGAGCUGCUGGGGGCAUCGGCCCGGCCUGACCUCCCGACCCCCACUUCCCCUCUCCCCACCUCACCCUGCUCACCCACACCCCGGUCAUUGCAAGGGGAUGCCGCACCCCCUGAAGGUGAAGAGCUGAUUGAGGCUGCCAAGAGGAACGACUUCUGUAAGGCCUGUGCUGGUGUACCCGGCUGUGGGCCAGCGUGUGAGCUGGGGGAAGGAGGGGUGGCCCCAGGAGGCCCUGCCCUGCCAUGCCUCCUGCCCUCAGCUCCAGGAGCUGCACCGAGCUGGGGGCGACCUCAUGCACCGAGACGAGCGGAGCCGCACGCUCCUGCACCAUGCAGUCAGCACUGGCAGCAAGGAUGUGGUCCGCUACCUGCUGGACCACGCCCCCCCAGAGAUCCUCGAUGCUGUGGAGGAAAAGUGAGUAUCUGGGCAGUGCAGGACCCUGGUCACCCCAGAAACUGCCCUUUUCCCCACCCCUCCCAUUUUGUCAGGUCAGAGCCCGUAAACUUCCUGGCCACAUCUGUCAUCCCCUGGGCCACCCCUGUUGCCCCAAAGCCCCGAACUUUGUGCCUUUUCUGAUGGCCCUUGGGAGACAGAUGGGUGGAUCAGGGGCCGGGAUGGGGUACACAGCCAGCCCCUGCUCCCCCAGCGGGGAGACCUGUUUGCACCAGGCAGCGGCCCUGGGCCAGCGCACCAUCUGCCACUACAUCGUGGAGGCCGGGGCCUCGCUCAUGAAGACAGACCAGCAGGGAGACACUCCCCGGCAGCGGGCUGAGAAGGCUCAGGACACCGAGCUGGCCGCCUACCUGGAGAACCGGCAGCACUACCAGAUGAUCCAGCGGGAGGACCAGGAGACGGCUGUGUAGCGGGCUGCCCACGGGCAGCAGGAGGGACAAUGCGGCCAGGGGACGAGCGCCCUCCUUGCCCACCUCACUGCCACAUUCCAGUGGGACGGCCACGGGGGGACCCAGGCCCCAGGGAAAGAACCCCGUGCCGCGCCCUAAGGAGCCGCCCAAACCUAGGGCUGGAUUCAGGAGCUGGGGGCCUCACCUGUCCCCCUGAGGCCCCCAACGGACCCGGAGGCUCACAGGGGAACAGGACACGGCUGGGUUGGACAUGCCUUUGCGGGGGGAUUCUGGGUCAGGGCGCUCCCUGGCCGCAGCAGAUGCCCUCCGAGGAGUGGAGGGGCUGGAGAGAGAGGGAGGCCUUCGGAAAGAGGCUUCCUGGGCCCCCUGGUCUUCGGCCGGGCCCUCAGCCCCCGCUCUUGCCCCACCCCACCUCCCCCGGGCUUCCUCCCGGACACUCAGCGCCUGCUGCACUUGCCCGCCCUGCCCUGCUUGGCACCCGCUCCGGCGACCCUCCCCGCUCCCCCGUCAUUUCAUCGCGGACUGUGCGGCCUGGGGGUGGGGGGCGGGACUCUCACGGUGACAUGUUUACAGCUGGGUGUGACUCAGUAAAGUGGAUUUUUUUCUUUU